RNAcentral lists this ribosomal RNA (183 nucleotides) under Staphylococcus aureus. RNAcentral's name for it is "partial 23S ribosomal RNA". It matches the Rfam family "Bacterial large subunit ribosomal RNA", at positions 2742 to 2925 of the family's 2925-position model. Lineage: Bacteria; Bacillati; Bacillota; Bacilli; Caryophanales; Staphylococcaceae. The record is from RNAcentral.
UGGGUAGCUAUGUGUGGACGGGAUAAGUGCUGAAAGCAUCUAAGCAUGAAGCCCCCCUCAAGAUGAGAUUUCCCAACUUCGGUUAUAAGAUCCCUCAAAGAUGAUGAGGUUAAUAGGUUCGAGGUGGAAGCAUGGUGACAUGUGGAGCUGACGAAUACUAAUCGAUCGAAGACUUAAUCAAAA